GGGAUAUUUAUAUUUAAAAUUUAAAUCUUCGAAAUAUCCAAGGUUACGUCAACAAAUGUGAUUUUUAUUAAAAUUGCUUUAAAUUUAAAUACAAUUUUACUGGAAUUUGAUCUUUCUGUGUAAAUUCAACUCUCCUAUUUUACAAUGAGCACUACUAGAGAAAAAUACGGCCCUUUGGUGGGUUCUAUAGACGAAGGGACUUCAAGUACUCGUUUUCUGGUUUUCGCUUCAAAAACCGCCGAAGUAUUGACGUACCAUCAAAAAGAUAUCCCCCACAUUUGCCCACACGAAGGAUGGUUCGAGCAAGACCCUCAAAUUAUAAUGGACUCAGUCAUAGAGACUAUCCAGGUCGCCUGCGAUAACCUGAAGAAACUCAGUAUAGACUACGAAGAGAUUGUGGCCGUCGGCAUAACAAAUCAGAGAGAAACAACAGUGUUGUGGGAUAAAUAUACGGGAAAACAUCUGUGCAAUGCUUUGGUGUGGAUGGAUAUGAGGACUUCAAGCACAGUGGACGAAAUACUGGAGGACGGGAAGAAAUCGCAGUAUUUCUUACAGAGAGCUACCGGUUUGCCUGUCAGUACUUAUUUCAGUGCUUUGAAAAUCAAAUGGAUGAUGGACAAUGUGCCGGCAGUGAAAACUGCGGUAGAUGAAGGGAGGUGUCUGUUUGGAAAUAUUGAUACUUGGAUCAUAUGGAAUUUAACUGGUGGUGUGAAAGGUGGACUUCACAUAACAGAUUGUACAAAUGCCUCGAGAACUAUGCUAAUGAACAUAGAAACGCUGAAGUGGGAUCCGCAAUUGUGCAAAGUCUUUGGUAUUCCCGAAAGUAUUCUCCCAGAAAUACGUAGUUCAGCAGAAAUAUACGGCUAUAUAAUCGAAGGGCUCCCUUUAGCUAGAGUUCCUAUAUCAGGGAUACUAGGUGACCAACAAGCAGCUCUAGUGGGCCAGUUAUGUUUUAAUAUGGGCCAGGCAAAGAGCACUUAUGGUACAGGGUGUUUUAUUUUAUACAAUACAGGAACAAGUAUGGUACAGUCAACUCACGGACUUCUGACUACUGUAGGUUAUAAAAUGGGACCAAAUCAACCCACCAUCUAUGCUCUGGAAGGCUCUGUGGCAAUUGCAGGCAUUUCAAUGAAAUGGUUGAGGGACAAUUUAAAUAUUAUACACGACGUUACUGAAUCGGGUGACAUAGCCCAAAAUGUACAGGAUAAAGGCGAAGUAGUGUUUGUUCCAGCUUUCUCCGGCUUGUACGCUCCGUACUGGAGAAAAGAUGCCAGGAGUGUUAUAUGUGGUUUAAGUGAAGAAACCAAACCCGGGCAUCUAGUUAAAGCAGCCCUCGAAGGCGUUUGUUAUCAAGUAAGAGAUGUCCUCGAAGCUAUGGCUCUAGACUGUAAGAUUCCUUUAAAGAAGAUUUUAGUUGAUGGCGGGAUGACUGCAAAUGAUUAUUUGAUGCAGAUGCAAGCCGAUUACUGUGGUAUCCCCGUAGACCUACUAUGUUGGAAACUACGGCCUUGGGCGCUGCGAUAGCCGCCGGUUGCGCACCUGGUGUUGAAGUGUGGGACCCUAGAAAGAUAGUAGCCACGCCUAAUGAUGUUUUUAAACCUUCCAUAUCUGAGAGUGUUCGAGAUAUGAAGUAUACUAGGUGGAAAAUGGGAAUCAGUAGGAGCUUAGGAUGGGAAGUUGAAGAAAAGUCACGUUCAAGAUCGAGUGAAUCUCCUGGUGCGUCUAUGGCUGGUGGUCUCUUCGUUUUUGGAUCUGUGCUUGCUCUAGCUGUAGCGGAUUUUUUAAGAACUAAACGGAUAUUUUCUUAGAAAUAGCAUUCCGUUUUUUCUUAUUUUAUAGUUGCCAUUAGUAUGACACUUUUUUACUUUGUUAUUGUUUGAUUAGUACUUAAUUUUUUACGCGGCUGUGGAUGUAGAAAACUAAAUUUUUUAUGUAGAUUUAGUGUGAAAGAAGAGUGAUGAGAUGAAUAAAAAUAUAACUGAAAACA
This 1987-nucleotide unclassified non-coding RNA is filed under the name Sitophilus oryzae (rice weevil). Its description in RNAcentral is "glycerol kinase-like, transcript variant X1". The record is from RNAcentral. Lineage: Eukaryota; Metazoa; Arthropoda; Insecta; Coleoptera; Curculionidae.